CACCUCCCGGCAUCUGAGCAAAGCCCUUCUCUCCCCAAGCCCCUGCGACUGCGGGAAGUUGGGCUUUUGGGGGGAAACCUCUGAGUCCCUGGAGAGGUUCCAGGUGGCCAAAGGCAGGCUUCUUGCCACGCAUGCCGUCCCCAGACGCCUCCCUCUGCUCAGUUCCUACGGAAGGGGAUCGGCAGCCAGACGGCGGCAGGUUUCUCACAUUUUUUUUCUUCUUAGAAAUGGAAACCCUCCUUCCGGCAACGUGGCAGGAAAGCUAAGUCCGGGGCGACCCAGGCCAAGGACAUUUCCGUGGUAGCAGGGUGUCUCUCUCUCAUCAUGUGGAAUCUGUGCGCAAUGGAAGCAUCCUGGAAAGAGAAGAAGGCAGAAGCCUGGACUGCUUCCGAAGCCAGCAAGAAUCUCUGACCCUUUCCUUACGCUCGCUGUCUUCCUCCUCCCGAUUUGGCUGCACUGUCGGCUUCCUGUACCUCAACGCAUCCUGAGUUUGGAACGUCUUAGCCGUGAGGAUCUGCAUCUCACACUCUCAUCACAGCCACCCCGAUGCUUGUGACUAGUGUUUAGAUGCUCUGUGGUCUACAGUCCAGAGCAGGACCCAAAGCUGGGCUCAAUUCUCCUCCAAGGCUAGCCUUUCGUGCUUCUUACUGAACGCAUUUUCCAGCAGAGGAGUGUGUACUGGCCCCUUAUCACCCAGUCCCCAUCUAACUCUGUGGGGGCAGAUACCAAAUGCUGGAAAUAUAUUGGCUGAUUGGGUUGGAGAAGUGCAGCCCAGAAACAGUGAGAUUUGCUCAGGAGUAACAGUGAAACAUGAAAAUCUCCAGGUAUGGUGGCACUUGCCUGCAGUCUGAGCAUGCGGGGGAGACUGAGGCAGAGGAUCAAGGCCAGCCUGGACUACAAGGUGGGUCUGGACCAUAUCUUAGCAAACCAGACCAACCAACCAACCAAAACCCAAUAAAUAACCAAAAAUACAUCUACUACACUAUGUGUCUGAAAGAUCUCUAAAAUUCCAUGGAGCACAUAUUUAGCUAAUGUAUAUUCCAUCCCUCCCUCUCCUUCCCUCCCUCCCUUCCUGGGACAGGCUCUUACCACGUGAUUCUGGCUGGCCUGUAACUUACUAUGUAGACCCUGUUGGGCUCAAACUAAGAGAGAUCCUCCUGCCUCUGUCUCCCUUGCAAUGGGAUUAAAGGUGUGCACUACCACGCUGGGUAUAUCCUGUUUCUUGAUGAGGAAACUCUACAACAGAGCCAUUUCUAGUGCUUUUACCUUGUUUUUAGCAUCAAGAGAGACUAGUGCAGUUCACUGAAGAAGCUUUCGGGGCGCAUACUAUGUGUGAUGAGGUUUUCCGUAGGGACAAGGGUGACCCCAGCCAGCAGCCACCACGUGAAAUCUGGGAGGUCAUGUCUAGGCUUACUUUGUGGUUGGUAGACCCACAUUCCUCGGGACUUUAAGGGUUAAACGUCUGCUACCGAUUUAUUCUUUUAGUUUUCAGACUCAUCAAGAGCUGAAGGGCUGGAUAGAGUCUCCUUUGUGGACACACGGUGGGAGGUGUCAACAGUCAGGUAGCCCCUCCCCCCUGGCCCCACAGGGCCUACUCAGCUCCUUUGGCAGCAACUCUUCCUAGUCCAGACCCUGUCCACCCCCCGUGUGUCUUUCAGCAAGUUUCCAGGAACACUCCCGAUAAGGUACACGUGACAUUUGUCACAUGAUUUUCUAGAAUUCCAGAAAGCGUUCCAUCUGUGUUCCUUUGAAGGACCAAUUUUAUCCUGUUAGAAACAAAACAAAAUAUGCCCCCCAACAAAAACCUUAAAACAAACAUCCGUAUAUUGUGCGGCAUGAUUUUUACACCACUGCUAUUACCCCCUGUACAGCUGGGUCGAGCUCCUGGUUUUAAUUCCUGGAGCAUUGCAGACACUCUUUUCUCGGUUCUUAUCACUCUAAUGAGUCUUUCUCUGCUCCACCAGCUCCCAAAUGACACAGGAACUUCUUACUGAUCACGAAAGCUCAGCCUAUAGCUUAGACUUGUCCCUAAUUAGCUCGCAUAAGUUAAACUAACCCAUUUCUGUAACUUAAGCUAACCCAUUUCCGUUAAUCUACGUUUCACCAUGUGGCUCUCUGUCUGUCACUCUGCGUGUGUGCCACUGCCUCCCGGGUCUUGUUGGCGUCCUCCCUGACCCCCAUUAUCUCCUCCUGUGCCCUCACCCUGACUGGAAGGCCCACCCAAACCUCCUGCCUAGCUAUUGACCCUUUAGCUCUUGAUUAAGAUAAUCACAGCAGUACAUCUUCACGCGGUGUACAAGUACCCCCACAGCAUAUCACCCUUGGUUUUUCCAUUACUAAGUUUUGUGUGGCUUCUUCUUCCAAAGGCCAGCAUCUGCAAUAUCGUCAGCUCUGCGUGUGACUCCUAAUCUGACAGUGUAAUCUCUUGACAAAUACAUGAAACAGCAAGAGGGAGCUAAGCUGUCUUCCAAAAGGCAGUGUAAAGGCUGACCGUGUUUGUCUCCCGGGAAUAGAGUGAAUCGAGGCUUGCUUUUAUUCCAAGAGGCUCCGUGCUGAGCACUGACCGUAGCAUAUUUAUUUUAUGGGUUCAGAAACUUUCUUGAUGAUGACCACAGCAAAAUCACACUUCAUUCUAGAGAGAGUGACAGGAAUGGGAGGCCAGGGGAAGCAGUGGUAUUUCUGAUGGUCUCCAGUUGGUGUGUGUUCUAUGUGGAUGGCCUGAAAGGGAGAUAAUGAAGUAUGGACAAGGGCUGCUCCUUCUGCAACCAAAAACCUCAAACACAUGGUUGAAUGAGGGAUUUUGGCUUUCUGUCAAACAUAAAAUGCUAUCAUUUGAUCUCUGAAAUACUGGAAUGUCUGUUCAAUAGAAAUAUAGCAUGUUUGUAACUUAGAAGUUUCUGCAAGCCACAUAAAAAGUAAAAAGAAACAGAUGAAAUUAA
This is a long non-coding RNA of Mesocricetus auratus (golden hamster), 2939 nucleotides long. RefSeq lists it as uncharacterized. Lineage: Eukaryota; Metazoa; Chordata; Mammalia; Rodentia; Cricetidae. The record is from RefSeq and is a predicted model, not a curated record. The transcript has 3 exons.